RNAcentral lists this ribosomal RNA (297 nucleotides) under Staphylococcus aureus. RNAcentral's name for it is "partial 23S ribosomal RNA". It matches the Rfam family "Bacterial large subunit ribosomal RNA", at positions 2240 to 2536 of the family's 2925-position model. Lineage: Bacteria; Bacillati; Bacillota; Bacilli; Caryophanales; Staphylococcaceae. The record is from RNAcentral.
CGUGGUGGGAGACAGUGUCAGGCGGGCAGUUUGACUGGGGCGGUCGCCUCCUAAAAGGUAACGGAGGCGCUCAAAGGUUCCCUCAGAAUGGUUGGAAAUCAUUCAUAGAGUGUAAAGGCAUAAGGGAGCUUGACUGCGAGACCUACAAGUCGAGCAGGGUCGAAAGACGGACUUAGUGAUCCGGUGGUUCCGCAUGGAAGGGCCAUCGCUCAACGGAUAAAAGCUACCCCGGGGAUAACAGGCUUAUCUCCCCCAAGAGUUCACAUCGACGGGGAGGUUUGGCACCUCGAUGUCGGC